ACAGAGACCUCAAACGUUAUCCGGAUUCAUUGGGUGUAAAGGGUCCGCAGGUGGUCAGAGUAGUCGGUGGUUAAAUCCUGGCGCUUAACGUCAGGACUGCUGUCGAUACUCUCUGGCUAGAGACUGGGAGAGGCACAUGGAAUUCUCGGUGUAGUCGUAAUAAGCGCUGAUAUCGAGAAGAACACCAAAGGCGAAGGCAAUGUGCUAGAACAGUUCUGACACUCAUGGACGAAAGCGUGGGGAGCGAAUAGGA
RNAcentral lists this ribosomal RNA (253 nucleotides) under uncultured prokaryote. RNAcentral describes it as "partial 16S ribosomal RNA". It matches the Rfam family "Bacterial small subunit ribosomal RNA", at positions 525 to 777 of the family's 1533-position model. The record is from RNAcentral.